UGAAGAAGAAGAAGAAGAAUGGACAAUGCAAAUGUUGGUCUCAAAGACUUGAUUACCCACAAAGCUAGAGCCAUGUAGGCAUUUAGUGAUGGGCUCAUGCCCUUCUAAGGGCUUUUCAACAGCCAAGGAUUGUUGCAGAAACCCUUGUAGGGAUAAUUACUGGCAACAUAAUGUUUCCCCAUACAGGUUUGCAGCCAUGGAUUCACCUUCUCCCUCACAGGCACUGCCUCUCCUCUGCUAGUGCACCAAAUCACUGACCUCAAGAUAAGCAAAUCACACAUUGGAUGACUAGUAGUUGCAGCUAGAAUACACUUUGAUUUGUGUUCACCGCCAAGAGCUGGGUCAACCAUGAAAACCCAGAAGGAAAACCUAUGAAAGGCUCCCACAUGGUGGUCUUGGUUGCUUUUUUGGUCAUAAGCUGCAGCUGCUAGCCUAUUGCAGGGAACAGCCCCAUGAUGAGUGCGUUCAUGGCAGGAAUUGCCUUGCCUAGAGAGGGCAAGCUGUCAAAGAUGAUGAUCAGAAAGGUUAACUACUUCUUCAACAGCAUCUUUUAUCCAUUUUUUUCCUAUUUGGGUGGGCUUGGGGUCAAUUUUUAGAAGUUCCAUCCUGGCAGCCAUGGGACAUGAGCAAGAUUGUUCUUCAUUUUUGAGAUUGCAACAUUGGGAAAAGACAUUGGAACCCAUCAGGCUCAUGCGAAGAUUCAAUCACCCAGAUUAGUUGCUCUCGGUUUACUUCUCACUGUCAAGCGUCUUGGCACUUUCUGCCCUGGAGAAUGAAAUCACAUUGACUUCAACCAGUACUAGAUUGACAAUCUUCUUCACUGUGGUCUACACCCCAUCAGUAAUAGGGUACAUCAUUGGAAGUGCAAGGAAACACUCACCAAAUCAACAGAUGACACUGCAAUGGCUUAAGCCUGCAAAUGAGCCUUGAAUGUUGCCAAGUGUUCAAGGCCCUCAACACCUGCCUUCAAUCAUUAACUUCAUUGUGAUAUCCCAGGGGAGACAUGAUCCUGCAAUCAUAGUUUAUGUGACUGACAUGAUCAAGCUCACAGAAAAAAUAGAGUCCACCCUGAUACACAAUGAAGGAGGGAUAUGGUGAUUGUGACCAACAAGGCAGUGGUAGAGAUGGGAGAUCAAAUCAUUACAGCAAUCAAAACUUAUGAAAAGGAGAACAGUAGAAGUUGUACUACCAUUCAGUGAAUGCUUGCACUCUCAGCAUUCAGUCCUAUGCACCAGGAUAUUUGCAGGUUUGCAGAGACUUGCUUGUUUCCCUUGUUGUACUGCCAUUCCAUUAGUACCAGGUUGCAGAUGGAAAAUGAUUGAAGCCCAGUCCAUAAUCUGAUAUGUGAACAGAAAGGUAUGUACACACAUGUAUUAUCACAGAAGUCUGGGAAAGACUCCAAAAUUCUACUCAAUGCUUCCACUGAGGCACUGUCUGAUACAUCCAAAGCAGUAUUGAAUUCCUAGUUUGCCAUGAUGAUCAUUUUGUCUUCUAAAAGGUGCUUUAGUGUGCCCCAUGCUUCAUUAGGAUACUGGUUGAUUGGGGUCUUGGAUUGACCACCAAAAUAGUGAGAUCAUCCAUAUUCUAAAUGUGGCAGUUAUUUUUCAUCAGUGGCAAAGAUGAUAGGGAAGCACUAGCCUAUGCCAGCCACGUGGCCCAACAUCCUGGAGUGAAACUCGCAGUUAUUAGAUUCCUAUAGGAUACUAAUGCCAAAACCAAAUUGACAAGACUUGGCACCAGUACCGGUAAGGUUAGCCUGCCUGAGCAAGAAGAGAUGAAGCUUGAUGAUGAGUUCUUUGCAAGUUCUAUGAGAGACUAGUAGGAGGACACAUAGCUCAUAUGGAAGAGUAUCUUGCAAAUUCAGCUGAGACCAUGUCAGCUCUGAAGUCAUUAAAAGAACAAUAUAGACUCAUCGUUGUUGAUCAAGGGGUGAGUGUGAAUUCCAUAUUGACAGCUGGGAUGAAUGUUUGGAUGCGGUGUCCAGAACUAGGUCCCAUUGGUGACUUUCUAUUGGGAUCUGAUUCAGUAGUUUCAGCCUCCAUUAUGAUCACCCAACAACACAGUCCUAAAGGAGAAUUGGCUGAUCUCACUGAUGACUUUUCAGUCAUGUAAAUGUAAAUUCCUGUUAGUAAGGUAGCUAAAAACUUCAGGAUCCAAUUAUAGCAAGGUAAUUUGGAAAUUGCCAAAACAAUAGCUGUAGAAUGGGAAAACACACAAGAAACUAGUGAACAUUGAUAAAAGAAAAUUAUUGAAAAUGAGUGAAAAGCAAUUUAUAAUAUAUUGUUAUAUGCAUUUCCCAUAAUCAUUCUGCCUUCGCUUUCCCCCUAGUUGCAGAAAUAUUUAGUUUAUUGUUUUCCACUCAUUUACAGAUCUAGCUACUAGUUGUCAACUUGUUUCUCAAACAUCUUCAGCAUAUCUGCUAGGUGGCUUGCAAGGAACAUGAGAUUUGUGUUCUUUCCAUGUUAAUGUGAAAACAAUCAUUGGCAAUGUAAGGUUCAGUUUCACUUGGUAUCUUACUGAGAUGUGGGACUAACUAGUUUAGUUUGUCAUCUUGAUAUACAUAUAUUUUGCCAAUUAGUUUUAUUUUGAAGUUACAUAUCCAUAAUCCCUUUCAUUCCUGUUGUUUUUUUUAACACACUGCAGUGGUAGUUGAGGGUGGGACAGAAACUGUAGUUUUUAACUAACUACUAAGAACUUCA
Molecule: long non-coding RNA, 2699 nt
Organism: Vitis riparia (riverbank grape)
Lineage: Eukaryota; Viridiplantae; Streptophyta; Magnoliopsida; Vitales; Vitaceae
Exons: 5
Source: RefSeq, a predicted model, not a curated record